ACAUAGUAUAUUGGGUUGGUGCAAAAGUAGUUGUGGUUUGUACCAUUAAAAUAGAUGGCAAAAACCACAGUUACAUUUGCAUAAACCUAGAUUUAG
This 96-nucleotide microRNA precursor is filed under the name Chlorocebus sabaeus (green monkey). RNAcentral's name for it is "miRNA (ENSCSAG00000026244.1)". The record is from RNAcentral. Lineage: Eukaryota; Metazoa; Chordata; Mammalia; Primates; Cercopithecidae.